RNAcentral lists this ribosomal RNA (433 nucleotides) under uncultured bacterium. RNAcentral's name for it is "partial 16S ribosomal RNA". It matches the Rfam family "Bacterial small subunit ribosomal RNA", at positions 29 to 507 of the family's 1533-position model. The record is from RNAcentral.
AACGAACGCUGGCGGCAUGCCUAACACAUGCAAGUCGAACGAUCCCUUCGGGGAUAGUGGCGCACGGGUGCGUAACGCAUGGGAACCUGCCCUUAGGUUCGGAAUAACUCAGAGAAAUUUGAGCUAAUACCGGAUAAUGUCUUCGGACCAAAGAUUUAUCGCCUUUGGAUGGGCCCGCGUUGGAUUAGCUAGUUGGUGGGGUAAAGGCCUACCAAGGCGACGAUCCAUAGCUGGUCUGAGAGGAUGAUCAGCCACACUGGGACUGAGACACGGCCCAGACUCCUACGGGAGGCAGCAGUGGGGAAUAUUGGACAAUGGGCGAAAGCCUGAUCCAGCAAUGCCGCGUGAGUGAUGAAGGCCUUAGGGUUGUAAAGCUCUUUUACCCGGGAUGAUAAUGACAGUACCGGGAGAAUAAGCCCCGGCUAACUCCGUG